UCGCGCGUUUGUGGCGCUUUGUUUUCCGGAUUGCGGGCCACGUUAAACAAGCCGCUAAAGAGGAGCCCCGGUUCGCCCCGG
This 81-nucleotide non-coding RNA is filed under the name Gemmobacter megaterium. Lineage: Bacteria; Pseudomonadati; Pseudomonadota; Alphaproteobacteria; Rhodobacterales; Paracoccaceae. The record is from RNAcentral.